UUAGGAAUUUUGGGCAAUGGGCGCAAGCCUGACCCAGCAACGCCGCGUGGGUGAAGACGGCCUUCGGGUUGUAAAGCCCUUUUCGGGGGGACGAUGAUGACGGUACCCUCGGAAGAAGCACCGGCUAACUACGUGCCAGCAGCCGCGGUAAUACGUAGGGUGCGAGCGUUGCCCGGAUUUAUUGGGCGUAAAGGGCGUGUAGGCGGCUGCUUGCGUCCCGUGUGAAAGCCCCCGGCUUACCUGGGGGAGGACGCGGGAGACGGGGCGGCUGGAGCAAGGUAGGGGGCCAUGGAAUUCCCGGUGUAGUGGUGGAAUGCGUAGAGAUCGGGAGGAACACCAGUGGCGAAGGCGGUGGCCUGGGCCUGUGCUGACGCUGAGGCGCGAAGGCGUGGGGAGCGAUCCGGAUUAGAUACCCCCGUAGUCC
RNAcentral lists this ribosomal RNA (424 nucleotides) under uncultured bacterium. RNAcentral describes it as "bacterial SSU rRNA". It matches the Rfam family "Bacterial small subunit ribosomal RNA", at positions 355 to 796 of the family's 1533-position model. The record is from RNAcentral.